GGAACCGUGCCUGAACCAAAGGACCACUUUGAUAGAGUGAAUUAUGAGGGUUAGAGUCCCUCCAGUUCUU
This 70-nucleotide transfer RNA is filed under the name Paedocypris micromegethes. Its description in RNAcentral is "tRNA-Ile". It matches the Rfam family "tRNA". From Rfam's summary of the family: Transfer RNA (tRNA) molecules are approximately 80 nucleotides in length. Their secondary structure includes four short double-helical elements and three loops (D, anti-codon, and T loops). Lineage: Eukaryota; Metazoa; Chordata; Actinopteri; Cypriniformes. The record is from RNAcentral.